CCUACGGGAGGCAGCAGUGAGGAAUAUUGGUCAAUGGGCGCAAGCCUGAACCAGCCAUGCCGCGUGCAGGAUGAAGAUCUAUGGUGUGUAAACUGCUUUUAUACUGGAAGCGGUACAGUAGGAAUAAGGAUCGGCUAACUCCGUGCCAGCAGCCGCGGUAAUACGGAGGAUCCAAGCGUUAUCCGGAAUCAUUGGGUUUAAAGGGUCCGUAGGCGGUUUUAUAAGUCAGUGGUGAAAUCCGGUAGCUCAACUAUCGAACGGCCAUUGAUACUGUAGAACUUGAAUUAUUGUGAAGUAACUAGAAUAUGUAGUGUAGCGGUGAAAUGCUUAGAUAUUACAUGGAAUACCAAUUGCGAAGGCAGGUUACUAACAAUAAUUGACGCUGAUGGACGAAAGCGUGGGGAGCGAACAGGAUUAGAUACCCUUGUAGUC
This 432-nucleotide ribosomal RNA is filed under the name uncultured bacterium. RNAcentral describes it as "partial 16S ribosomal RNA". It matches the Rfam family "Bacterial small subunit ribosomal RNA", at positions 338 to 795 of the family's 1533-position model. The record is from RNAcentral.